GACGAACGCUGGCGGCGUGCCUAAUACAUGCAAGUAGAACGCUGAAGAGAGGAGCUUGCUCUUCUUGGAUGAGUUGCGAACGGGUGAGUAACGCGUAGGUAACCUGCCUUGUAGCGGGGGAUAACUAUUGGAAACGAUAGCUAAUACCGCAUAACAAUGGAUGACACAUGUCAUUUAUUUGAAAGGGGCAAAUGCUCCACUACAAGAUGGACCUGCGUUGUAUUAGCUAGUAGGUGAGGUAACGGCUCACCUAGGCGACGAUACAUAGCCGACCUGAGAGGGUGAUCGGCCACACUGGGACUGAGACACGGCCCAGACUCCUACGGGAGGCAGCAGUAGGGAAUCUUCGGCAAUGGGGGCAACCCUGACCGAGCAACGCCGCGUGAGUGAAGAAGGUUUUCGGAUCGUAAAGCUCUGUUGUAAGUCAAGAACGAGUGUGAGAGUGGAAAGUUCACACUGUGACGGUAG
This 468-nucleotide ribosomal RNA is filed under the name Streptococcus sp. oral taxon C65. RNAcentral describes it as "bacterial SSU rRNA". It matches the Rfam family "Bacterial small subunit ribosomal RNA", at positions 28 to 478 of the family's 1533-position model. Lineage: Bacteria; Bacillati; Bacillota; Bacilli; Lactobacillales; Streptococcaceae. The record is from RNAcentral.